CCUACGGGAGGCAGCAGUGAGGAAUAUUGGUCAAUGGGCGCGAGACUGAACCAGCCAAGUAGCGUGAAGGAUGAAUGCCCUACGGGUUGUAAACUUCUUUUAUAAAGGAAUACAGUGAGGCACGUGUGACUUUUUGUAUGUACUUUAUGAAUAAGGAUCGGCUAACUCCGUGCCAGCAGCCGCGGUAAUACGGAGGAUCCGAGCGUUAUCCGGAUUUAUUGGGUUUAAAGGGAGCGUAGAUGGGUUGUUAAGCCAGUUGUGAAAGUUUGCGGCUCAACCGUAAAAUUGCAAUUGAUACUGGCAGUCUUGAGUACAGUUGAGGUAGGCGGAAUUCGUGGUGUAGCGGUGAAAUGCUUAGAUAUCACGAAGAACUCCGAUUGCGAAGGCAGCUUACUAAACUGCCACUGACAUUGAUGCUCGAAAGUGUGGGUAUCAAACAGGAUUAGAUACCCCGGUAGUC
RNAcentral lists this ribosomal RNA (460 nucleotides) under uncultured bacterium. RNAcentral's name for it is "partial 16S ribosomal RNA". It matches the Rfam family "Bacterial small subunit ribosomal RNA", at positions 338 to 795 of the family's 1533-position model. The record is from RNAcentral.